RNAcentral lists this transfer RNA (76 nucleotides) under Deltaproteobacteria bacterium. RNAcentral's name for it is "tRNA-Gly". It matches the Rfam family "tRNA". From Rfam's summary of the family: Transfer RNA (tRNA) molecules are approximately 80 nucleotides in length. Their secondary structure includes four short double-helical elements and three loops (D, anti-codon, and T loops). Lineage: Bacteria; Pseudomonadati; Myxococcota; Myxococcia. The record is from RNAcentral.
GCACGAGUAGCUCAGUUGGUAGAGCACCACGUUGCCAACGUGGAUGUCGCCGGUUCGAGUCCGGUCUCGUGCUCCA